Molecule: transfer RNA, 77 nt
Filed under: Acidimicrobiaceae bacterium
Lineage: Bacteria; Bacillati; Actinomycetota; Acidimicrobiia; Acidimicrobiales; Acidimicrobiaceae
Also listed under: 3 other names
Description: tRNA-Lys
Rfam family: tRNA
About the family: Transfer RNA (tRNA) molecules are approximately 80 nucleotides in length.
Source: RNAcentral
GCGCCUCUAGCUCAAUUUGGCAGAGCAUCGGACUCUUAAUCCGCAGGUUCUGGGUUCGAGUCCCAGGGGGCGCACCA